AGCACCAAUCUGUUGCUGUAAGAUUCUGAAUGAGAUCAAUCUUGGACCGAACUAGAAUACUUUUUGAUUGAAUUUGAUGAAGUCCGCAACACAUUCUGCAAAAAAAGUCUUAAAAUCGAUGGGGUACCCUCCGGUUCAAGACCCUCUAAUGGUUAAGUCAGAUAAAGCCUUGAGAAUAGAUUGUGAAAAUAGAAAAAUAGAAGGAUGAUAGAGUAAAUUAUGGACAAGAGAAGAGAGAGCUUUUGUUCCCUUCAGUGGGAGAGCUAAAAUGAUUCAGUAGAGUCUCAACUCUAUCAGUCGAUCUGACUUAUUUUGCAAAGGAUACCCUACCCCUCUUGAUAUAGAGGGGGUGAGGAUGGUCUACUUAGGCUGUUAAGCUAUUAAGAGAAUUUGUUAGAUCGUUAGUUUAUUAUAACAGAAUGACUAGCUGUAUAGAGAUCAUGGGAUGUUUGUCCACGUGGUGAUUGACUAUAGUAUAGCUGGAAGAUAGCUAAUGCUUAGCUAGAUGACAGCUAUCAGAUAACUAUCUGCAUUCUGACAGUACAUCGUUAUCUUAUCGAUGUGAUGCAAUUUAGAUCAGCAGCUGGCUAAACUUAGUAUCAUGUAUCCCUUUAGUACUUAAUAACUAUAUUAGCUAAAGACCGACGUAAUUCACAGC
RNAcentral lists this long non-coding RNA (658 nucleotides) under Elaeis guineensis (African oil palm). RNAcentral's name for it is "long non-coding RNA (EGUI_LNC012915)". Lineage: Eukaryota; Viridiplantae; Streptophyta; Magnoliopsida; Arecales; Arecaceae. The record is from RNAcentral.